UCCAGAGGCUUUGAUUAAAUCACCUGAGAAGUAAAUAUCCUUUAUCUCAAUCAUAAUUCAAAACAAACACAAUACUAAACUAGAGCUCAUGAGCAUCAAGCAAGUGGAUAAUUACUAUGAUCUCAAAAUUCUCUUCACCAAAUUUCACACAACCUCAGAAUUAAACCUAAAGAACACAAAAAGUUUCAUCAAACAAAUGUGAGG
Arabidopsis thaliana (thale cress) is the source of this 204-nucleotide long non-coding RNA. RefSeq annotates it as other RNA. Lineage: Eukaryota; Viridiplantae; Streptophyta; Magnoliopsida; Brassicales; Brassicaceae. The record is from RefSeq. The transcript has a single exon.